This 76-nucleotide transfer RNA is filed under the name Rhodothermus marinus. Its description in RNAcentral is "tRNA-Ala". It matches the Rfam family "tRNA". From Rfam's summary of the family: Transfer RNA (tRNA) molecules are approximately 80 nucleotides in length. Their secondary structure includes four short double-helical elements and three loops (D, anti-codon, and T loops). Lineage: Bacteria; Pseudomonadati; Rhodothermota; Rhodothermia; Rhodothermales; Rhodothermaceae. The record is from RNAcentral. RNAcentral also lists the same sequence under 7 other names.
GGGGUUAUAGCUCAGUUGGUAGAGCGCCGGCUUUGCAAGCCGGAGGUCGUCGGUUCGAAUCCGACUAACUCCACCA